RNAcentral lists this ribosomal RNA (477 nucleotides) under uncultured bacterium. RNAcentral's name for it is "bacterial SSU rRNA". It matches the Rfam family "Bacterial small subunit ribosomal RNA", at positions 26 to 518 of the family's 1533-position model. The record is from RNAcentral.
GGCGUACAGGACGAACGCUGGCGGCAUGCCUAACACAUGCAAGUCGACGGGGGUAGCAAUACCCUAGUGGCGAACGGGUGAGUAACACAUAAGCAAUCUGCCCUUCACAGGGGGAUAACAGCGGGAAACUGCUGCUAAUACCGCAUAAGACCACAGUACCGCAUGGUACAGGGGUAAAAACGAAUCAGUGGUGAAGGAUGAGCUUAUGUCCCAUUAGCUAGUUGGUGAGAUAACAGCCCACCAAGGCGACGAUGGGUAGCCGACCUGAGAGGGUGAUCGGCCACACUGGAACUGAGACACGGUCCAGACUCCUACGGGAGGCAGCAGUGGGGAAUAUUGGGCAAUGGAGGAAACUCCUUACCCAGCAAUGCCGCGUGAGUGAAGAAGGUCUUCGGAUUGUAAAGCUCUUUGAUUGGGGACGAAGAAAGUGACGGUACCCAAAGAACAAGCCCCGGCUAACUACGUGCCAGCAGCAGC